UGGGGAAUAUCGCACAAUGGGCGAAAGCCUGAUGCAGCAACGCCGCGUGAGUGAUGAAGGCCUUCGGGUUGUAAAGCUCUGUCUUUUGGGACGAUAAUGACGGUACCAAAGGAGGAAGCCACGGCUAACUACGUGCCAGCAGCCGCGGUAAUACGUAGGUGGCAAGCGUUGUCCGGAUUUACUGGGCGUAAAGGAUGCGUAGGCGGAUUUUUAAGUGAGAUGUGAAAACCCUAAGCUUAACUUGGGGACUGCAUUUCAUACUGGAAAUCUAGAGUGCGGGAGAGGAGAAUGGAAUUCCUAGUGUAGCGGUGAAAUGCGUAGAGAUUAGGAAGAACACCAGUGGCGAAGGCGAUUCUCUGGACCGUAACUGACGCUGAGGCAUGAAAGCGUGGGUAGCAAACAGGAUUAGAUACCCUGGUAGUCCACGCCGUAAACGAUGAGUACUAGGUGUAGGAGGUAUCGACCCCUUCUGUGCCGCAGUUAACACAAUAAGUACUCCGCCUGGGAAGUACGAUCGCAAGAUUAAAAACUCAAAGGAAUUGAC
Molecule: ribosomal RNA, 544 nt
Filed under: uncultured bacterium
Lineage: Bacteria
Description: partial 16S ribosomal RNA
Rfam family: Bacterial small subunit ribosomal RNA
Source: RNAcentral